UGGCUCAGUGGUAGAGCGCAUGCUUAGCAUGCAGCAGGUCCUGGGUUCAAUCCCCAG
Molecule: transfer RNA, 57 nt
Filed under: Camelus bactrianus (Bactrian camel)
Lineage: Eukaryota; Metazoa; Chordata; Mammalia; Artiodactyla; Camelidae
Also listed under: 1 other name
Rfam family: tRNA
About the family: Transfer RNA (tRNA) molecules are approximately 80 nucleotides in length. Their secondary structure includes four short double-helical elements and three loops (D, anti-codon, and T loops). Further hydrogen bonds mediate the characteristic L-shaped molecular structure. tRNAs have two regions of fundamental functional importance: the anti-codon, which is responsible for specific mRNA codon recognition, and the 3' end, to which the tRNAs corresponding amino acid is attached (by aminoacyl-tRNA synthetases). tRNAs cope with the degeneracy of the genetic code in two manners: having more than one tRNA (with a specific anti-codon) for a particular amino acid; and 'wobble' base-pairing, i.e. permitting non-standard base-pairing at the 3rd anti-codon position.
Source: Rfam by way of RNAcentral